Eucalyptus grandis is the source of this 1326-nucleotide long non-coding RNA. RefSeq lists it as uncharacterized. The transcript is spliced from 4 exons. Lineage: Eukaryota; Viridiplantae; Streptophyta; Magnoliopsida; Myrtales; Myrtaceae. The record is from RefSeq and is a predicted model, not a curated record.
UCCCUUUGGAGGCAUGGUCCGCCUCGUGGCAUAAGCCUAUGUGCAGUGCCGUGUGCAUGUGAUGGCAGACUGUUGGUGGUCGAAGCCGGAGUGUAUAGGAAGCUUCUGGAGGCAAAGUACGAAAACACAUAGGCAAAGGAGAGUGGUCAUGCUGCUGGACUUGUAGCGCUUUGGAUCCCUAAAGUUCGUUGGGUUCUUUCGAGCUAAUCAUCAGGCGUGAAUUUGAUAUGCUGCAGGGCUGCAAGAGACUAACAGUGUUACACAAAGAUCUGAAGCGUCACUUCCAGGUGGUGGUGGAGAUGGAGUGGUCCCAGUGGUUGGGGCUUGUAGCUAUGGGGAUCCAGCUGGACUGGAGGUUGGGGCAGUGGAAAUUUCAACAACGGUGACAGCUAAUUUUUGGCCCUGAGAGCAACAAUCACUGUUAGUAAAGGAUGCCUGCGGAGGUUCCCUUAACAUCGCAUGCAUCUCUGGUAGAUGAUCUGCUGGGGGAUCAUUUGGUUUUGGAGCAAGUUGAUGAUGAGGAAGCUGAGAUGGUUUUGAUUGGAAGGAUUUUGUCGGAGAAGUGCUUGAGUCUAGCUGAGUAGCUAGCUUUUUGAAGGAAAGCCUCGGCUGGUAUGGGUGAGAUUACUAUAACCCCUCAAAAUAAGGUGUAUAUUUGCUCAGGUUUUACGAUUGGCACUUAGCAGAGAGAGUCCUGAGUUCUGGCUUUGGUCGAUUAGGGGAAAUUGCAUAAACCUGCAGAGAUGGGAUGCUCAGAGGAGACAGUAGAACCUCUAUUUUCAUGAACUGGAGGUGUAGCUGCAAAUACAUGGAUUGGCCUUCGAUCAAAUGAAAGAGGAUAAUGCGAACCCAUUGCUCGUUGGCCGGGCAAACUGGUGACAGUUGAGUCAAUUCACACCAAAUCUCGGGGUCGCUGGGGAUUCCUUUGUGCUAAAAGUCGCAAAUGCUAUAUAUGUACUGUGGAGUACGGCACUAGCUUUGUUACUUCAACAAGUAUUAAACUUUCUGAGUAGUUGGUGAGUGAGAUUGAGAUUGAAAGAGAGAAAGCAGGUACUGAUCAUUGACCAACGAAGAAAAAGUCAAUGAUGCAUUCGCAUCUGUCUUUUGAUGGUGCGAAAGGCCAAUUUUAAGUGCCCGAAUGGAUUGCGGUAUGCUGUGGGAAUGAAUGUGACGUCGCUCCAGCCUUUGUAAUGGGAUUGAGGAGGAUGGUUUGAUAAUGGACUGUGAUCCCAUAAAUUCUCUAUUCUCUAUUACAUUCAAUUUGUAGAUCAGUCUAGCGUCUGACCAUAAUAUUUGACUAAUCAAUGUUCACUCAGUUGGAUCAAA